AUUGAACGCUGGCGGCAGGCCUAACACAUGCAAGUCGAGCGGUAGAGAGAAGCUUGCUUCUCUUGAGAGCGGCGGACGGGUGAGUAAUGCCUAGGAAUCUGCCUGGUAGUGGGGGGAUAAACGUUCGGAAACGGACGCUAAUACCGCAUACGUCCUACGGGAGAAAGUAGGGACCUUCGGGCCUUGCGCUAUCAGAAUGAGCCUAGGUCGGAUUAGCUAGUUGGUGAGGUAAUGGCUCACCAAGGCGACGAUCGUAACUGGUCUGAGAGGAUGAUCAGUCACACUGGAACUGAGACACGGUCCAGACUCCUACGGGAGGCAGCAGUGGGG
RNAcentral lists this ribosomal RNA (330 nucleotides) under uncultured bacterium. Its description in RNAcentral is "bacterial SSU rRNA". It matches the Rfam family "Bacterial small subunit ribosomal RNA", at positions 30 to 359 of the family's 1533-position model. The record is from RNAcentral.